CAGUACCUCAAGUGGUCAGGAUGAUUAUUGGGCCUAAAGCAUCCGUAGCCGGCUCUGUAAGUUUUCGGUUAAAUCUGUACGCUCAACGUACAGGCUGCCGGGAAUACUGCAGCGCUAGGGAGUGGGAGAGGUAGACGGUACUCGGUAGGAAGGGGUAAAAUCCUUUGAUCUAUUGAUGACCACCUGUGGCGAAGGCGGUCUACCAGAACACGUCCGACGGUGAGGGAUGAAAGCUGGGGGAGCAAACCGGAUUAGAUACCCGAGUAGUCC
This 270-nucleotide ribosomal RNA is filed under the name uncultured archaeon. RNAcentral describes it as "partial 16S ribosomal RNA". It matches the Rfam family "Archaeal small subunit ribosomal RNA", at positions 477 to 747 of the family's 1478-position model. The record is from RNAcentral.